RNAcentral lists this ribosomal RNA (1920 nucleotides) under human gut metagenome. Its description in RNAcentral is "bacterial LSU rRNA". It matches the Rfam family "Bacterial large subunit ribosomal RNA", at positions 337 to 2245 of the family's 2925-position model. The record is from RNAcentral.
AGCGUCUGGAAAGGCGCGCGAUACAGGGUGACAGCCCCGUACACAAAAAUGCACAUACUGUGAGCUCGAUGAGUAGGGCGGGACACGUGGUAUCCUGUCUGAAUAUGGGGGGACCAUCCUCCAAGGCUAAAUACUCGUGAUCGACCGAUAGUGAACCAGUACCGUGAGGGAAAGGCGAAAAGAACCCCGGCGAGGGGAGUGAAAAAGAACCUGAAACCGUGUACGUACAAGCAGUGGGAGCCUCUUAAUGGGGUGACUGCGUACCUUUUGUAUAAUGGGUCAGCGACUUAUAUUCUGUAGCAAGGUUAACCGAAUAGGGGAGCCGAAGGGAAACCGAGUCUUAACUGGGCGUUAAGUUGCAGGGUAUAGACCCGAAACCCGGUGAUCUAGCCAUGGGCAGGUUGAAGGUUGGGUAACACUAACUGGAGGACCGAACCGACUAAUGUUGAAAAAUUAGCGGAUGACUUGUGGCUGGGGGUGAAAGGCCAAUCAAACCGGGAGAUAGCUGGUUCUCCCCGAAAGCUAUUUAGGUAGCGCCUCGUGAAUUCAUCUCCGGGGGUAGAGCACUGUUUCGGCAAGGGGGUCAUCCCGACUUACCAACCCGAUGCAAACUGCGAAUACCGGAGAAUGUUAUCACGGGAGACACACGGCGGGUGCUAACGUCCGUCGUGAAGAGGGAAACAACCCAGACCGCCAGCUAAGGUCCCAAAGUCAUGGUUAAGUGGGAAACGAUGUGGGAAGGCCCAGACAGCCAGGAUGUUGGCUUAGAAGCAGCCAUCAUUUAAAGAAAGCGUAAUAGCUCACUGGUCGAGUCGGCCUGCGCGGAAGAUGUAACGGGGCUAAACCAUGCACCGAAGCUGCGGCAGCGACACUAUGUGUUGUUGGGUAGGGGAGCGUUCUGUAAGCCUGUGAAGGUGUACUGUGAGGUAUGCUGGAGGUAUCAGAAGUGCGAAUGCUGACAUAAGUAACGAUAAAGCGGGUGAAAAGCCCGCUCGCCGGAAGACCAAGGGUUCCUGUCCAACGUUAAUCGGGGCAGGGUGAGUCGACCCCUAAGGCGAGGCCGAAAGGCGUAGUCGAUGGGAAACAGGUUAAUAUUCCUGUACUUGGUGUUACUGCGAAGGGGGGACGGAGAAGGCUAUGUUGGCCGGGCGACGGUUGUCCCGGUUUAAGCGUGUAGGCUGGUUUUCCAGGCAAAUCCGGAAAAUCAAGGCUGAGGCGUGAUGACGAGGCACUACGGUGCUGAAGCGACAAAUGCCCUGCUUCCAGGAAAAGCCUCUAAGCAUCAGGUAACAUCAAAUCGUACCCCAAACCGACACAGGUGGUCAGGUAGAGAAUACCAAGGCGCUUGAGAGAACUCGGGUGAAGGAACUAGGCAAAAUGGUGCCGUAACUUCGGGAGAAGGCACGCUGAUAUGUAGGUGAAGCGACUUGCUCGUGGAGCUGAAAUCAGUCGAAGAUACCAGCUGGCUGCAACUGUUUAUUAAAAACACAGCACUGUGCAAACACGAAAGUGGACGUAUACGGUGUGACGCCUGCCCGGUGCCGGAAGGUUAAUUGAUGGGGUUAGCGGUAACGCGAAGCUCUUGAUCGAAGCCCCGGUAAACGGCGGCCGUAACUAUAACGGUCCUAAGGUAGCGAAAUUCCUUGUCGGGUAAGUUCCGACCUGCACGAAUGGCGUAAUGAUGGCCAGGCUGUCUCCACCCGAGACUCAGUGAAAUUGAACUCGCUGUGAAGAUGCAGUGUACCCGCGGCAAGACGGAAAGACCCCGUGAACCUUUACUAUAGCUUGACACUGAACAUUGAGCCUUGAUGUGUAGGAUAGGUGGGAGGCUUUGAAGUGUGGACGCCAGUCUGCAUGGAGCCGACCUUGAAAUACCACCCUUUAAUGUUUGAUGUUCUAACGUGGGCCCCUUACCGGGGU